CUCUCCUCUAGACUUAGAGAGAAGAGGAAAAGGCAGAUUUCGAGAAAUGAAAAUUAUUUAAGGAUGUCCCUGCUGCCUCUCUCUGCUGCCCUCCUCUGUAAUACUGAAGAACUUACAAAAAAUAAUACAAAGUAAAUAAAUAAUUAAAGAAGAAGUAGAAGGAAAAAAAAAGGAAAAGGAAACUGUUUUGGCCUGAAGAGCUGCUGAAAAGCAACUGAAGAUCCCUUCCAGGUUCCACGGAAGACAUGCAUAGGCCUCUGGUCUGAGGGAGGCUGCUUGAUGGAGGUCCUUUUUCCUCUGCCCUCACCUGCCAGAAGCCCUCUGCCCAGACUGGCUUGGACACACCUCACCACAGGCUGGCGAAGGACUCAUGUUAUGAGGGCUCCUUUCCUUUUUCUGGGAUUCCUCUGCCAGGAAUGGGAGUGUCAUUGGGUGGCAGGACAAGAGACUUAAAGAAGACAGAGUUGCUAGAUCCAUAGGGAAAUGGAACCUACCCUAUGGGAAGUGCCACUGCCAUGGAGGUGUGACAGUCCCUGCCAUCAUGGGAGGACACAGGUCUGUGGAGCUGGGGUUGCUCAGUCUGGAGAAGAGGAGGAUGAAGGGAGACUUUCUCCUCUCUACUGUUACCUAAAAGCAAGUGGAAGCCAGCUGUACUGUGCAGAGUGCAUCAAAGCAGCUUCACAGUGGGACCCCUCAUUAAGGACCAUAAGCUCAGGAGCUCUUGCAUGCUGCUAGACUUCAUUACUGGAUCUGGUGGACACAAGGCUCAGAGUGGAUGCAGAAGGAGCAAGGGAAGGUAAAAACCAAGGAGAAGCCAAUGCAAACAGUCUGGGAAGGACCC
Molecule: long non-coding RNA, 841 nt
Organism: Pogoniulus pusillus (Red-fronted tinkerbird)
Lineage: Eukaryota; Metazoa; Chordata; Aves; Piciformes; Lybiidae
Exons: 4
Source: RefSeq, a predicted model, not a curated record